GACAAUAUGUUCCAUACAAAAUAUUAUAAUUACUGCGAAGAAUCGAAUGUCAAUUAACAUGGCCGCUGCUACAUGUAUUCUACUUAUUUUACCAAUAAUGAUCAGUGGCCUCAUAGCUCUCACUACUGUAGCAAAUUCUGUAUUUAAAAAGAUGUACAAAGUGAAGAAACAUUGUCUUACUAUCGCAUCUUCAACAACCGACGAUGAAACACGGGGUGUAACAAGGCGUGUCGUAUCUUUAUUGGAAAUAGAUUUCACUAUUUCCAUAUACGGAAUGUUCACAUUGGAUAAUCGACUGCCAUUACAAUUGUUCGCCAUUGUUGCUACAUACACUAUAGUCCUUUUACAGUUCUCUGUGUUAAACUAAGUUAAAAUCAAUAUUAUUGUGUAGUUUUUAUUAGGUGUGUUCUAUCCAAAGCAAAGAGAGAUAAUGUAGAAAACUUGGAUGCAUACUUACAUCUAACUUAUAUAAAUAAUACUAUUACUUGCAAUGAAAAAAAUUAUAACACAUAUGUAAAUACUUUUGUUAGUCAACUAUUUUAUUUGCAUGACCGCCAU
Long non-coding RNA from Leptidea sinapis, 558 nucleotides. RefSeq lists it as uncharacterized. NCBI's taxonomy places the organism in Eukaryota, Metazoa, Arthropoda, Insecta, Lepidoptera, Pieridae. The transcript has 3 exons. The record is from RefSeq and is a predicted model, not a curated record.